UGACAGACAUUGUUACUUCACUUCACUUCAGUGCAAAUUUUUGGGCUUUUAUUGUAUUCAAUCCCUUGAUACCUCGAAAGCACGAAAGUCGCUGCUAUCUUCUUUCCAGGUCUCCAGUUGAUUGAAUAGGGGCAGCUGUAAUACCCCAAAAUUUACCCUUCAUUUUUCCUGGAAGCAUACGCUUUACACCUCAUGCAUGCAUUCAUUUUUAGGUCAUUUAACAUUAGAUACAUUGCAUUUCAUCAUAUCAAUCAGAAUUAGAUCCAAGAAACUUUAUUUUAAAAAAAAUAAUAAUAAAUAAAUAAAUAAAAAUAAUAAAUAAAUAAAUAAAUAAAAGAAAAACUUUUCAGACUUGGACCUCUCUCAAAAGCCCACUAAGCUACCAAUAUUAGGCUAUAAAUACUAGAGUUUCAGUGAAACAAAUAUGGAUUUUCUAUUCCUAUUACCCUGAGGAAAAAGAUAGUGAGAGAAGAGCUAACAGAGUUCAGAGCAGCCUCCAAACCCUGAAGGGAACUCAACUGCACAGAAUCACCUCUACCUCACAUAA
RNAcentral lists this long non-coding RNA (547 nucleotides) under Lathyrus oleraceus (garden pea). RNAcentral describes it as "Pisum sativum (pea) long non-coding RNA (PSAT_LNC015591)". Lineage: Eukaryota; Viridiplantae; Streptophyta; Magnoliopsida; Fabales; Fabaceae. The record is from RNAcentral.